CAUUCCGAACCCGGAAGUUAAGCCCUUCAGCGCCGAUGGUACUGCAUGGGAGACUGUGUGGGAGAGUAGGACACCGCCGGAC
Molecule: ribosomal RNA, 82 nt
Filed under: Actinomadura nitritigenes
Lineage: Bacteria; Bacillati; Actinomycetota; Actinomycetes; Streptosporangiales; Thermomonosporaceae
Source: RNAcentral